UAGGACACGUAACGGAGCCCACCUC
RNAcentral lists this non-coding RNA (25 nucleotides) under Rattus norvegicus (Norway rat). The record is from RNAcentral. Lineage: Eukaryota; Metazoa; Chordata; Mammalia; Rodentia; Muridae.